This is a small nuclear RNA of Naja naja (Indian cobra), 103 nucleotides long. Lineage: Eukaryota; Metazoa; Chordata; Lepidosauria; Squamata; Elapidae. The record is from Ensembl.
GUGCUCGCUUUGACAGCAGAUAUACUAAAACUGGAAUGAUACAGAGAAGAUUAGCAUGGCCUCUGGGCAAAGAUGACACACAAAUGACAUGCUUCAUGUCUCA